RNAcentral lists this ribosomal RNA (845 nucleotides) under uncultured Bacillus sp. RNAcentral describes it as "bacterial SSU rRNA". It matches the Rfam family "Bacterial small subunit ribosomal RNA", at positions 652 to 1505 of the family's 1533-position model. The record is from RNAcentral. Lineage: Bacteria; Bacillati; Bacillota; Bacilli; Caryophanales; Bacillaceae.
UGGAGAGGAGUGAAUCCACCGUAGCCGUGAAAUGCGUAGAUAUAUGGAGGACACCAGGGCGAAGGCGACUUUCUGCUAUGUCUGACGCUGAGGCGCGAAAGCGUGGUAGCAACAGGAUAGAUACCCUGUAGUCACGCUGUAAACGAUGAGUGCUAGGUGUUAGGGGUUUCGAUGCCCUUAGUGCCGUAGCUAACGCAAUAAGCACUCCGCCUGGGGAGUACGGCCGCAAGGCUGAAACUCAAAGGAAUUGACGGGGGCCCGCACAAGCAGUGGAGCAUGUGGUUUAAUUCGAAGCAACGCGAAGAACCUUACCAAGGCUUGACAUCCCAUUGACCGGUAUAGAGAUAUACCUUUUCUUCGGAACAAUGGUGACAGGUGGUGCAUGGUUGUCGUCAGCUCGUGUCGUGAGAUGUUGGGUUAAGUCCCGCAACGAGCGCAACCCUUGAUCUUAGUUGCCAUCAUUAAGUUGGGCACUCUAAGGUGACUGCUAGCACGACGACUCGGAGGAAGGUGGGGAUGACGUCAAAUCAUCAUGCCCCUUAUGUCUUGGGCUACACACGUGCUACAAUGGCUGGUACAGAGGGUAGCAAAGCCGCGAGGUGGAGCCAAUCCCAAAAAGCCAGUCUCAGUUCGGAUUGUAGGCUGCAACUCGCCUACAUGAAGCAGGAAUUGCUAGUAAUCGCGGAUCAGCAUGCCGCGGUGAAUACGUUCCCGGGCCUUGUACACACCGCCCGUCACACCACGAAAGUUUGCAACACCCAAAGUCGGUGAGGUAACCAUUUAUGGAGCCAGCCGCCCAAGGUGGGGUAGAUAAUUGGGGUGAAGUCGUAACAAGGUAACCGUAA